CAGCGCCACGAGUGGCAAUCGCGUUUAUUGGGCCUAAAGCGUCCGUAGCCGGUUCAGCAAAUCUUUUGUGAAAUCGUCAGGCUUAACUUGACGGAUUGCAGAAGACACUACUGAACUCGGGACUGGGAGGAGUCAGAAGUAUUUUAGGGGGACCGGUAAAAUGGUAUAAUCCCUAGAAGACUACCGAUGGCGAAGGCAUCUGACUAGAACAGAUCCGACGGUGAGGGACGAAAGCCAGGGGAGCGAACCGGAUUAGAUACCCGAGUAGUCC
Molecule: ribosomal RNA, 271 nt
Filed under: uncultured archaeon
Lineage: Archaea
Description: partial 16S ribosomal RNA
Rfam family: Archaeal small subunit ribosomal RNA
Source: RNAcentral